Molecule: ribosomal RNA, 1057 nt
Filed under: uncultured archaeon
Lineage: Archaea
Description: bacterial SSU rRNA
Rfam family: Archaeal small subunit ribosomal RNA
Source: RNAcentral
CCCUUUCCGGUUGAUCCUGGCAGAGGUUACUGCUAUCGAGGUUCGACUAAGCCAUGCGAGUCGAAUGUAGCAAUACAUGGCGUACUGCUCAGUAACACGUGGACAACCUACCCUUAGGCCUGGGAUAACCCCGGGAAACUGGGAAUAAUACCGGAUAUAUCGCGAAUGCUGGAAUGCAUCGCGAUAGAAAGCUCCGACGCCUAAGGAUGGGUCUGCGGCCUAUCAGGGUAGUAGUGGGUGUAAUGUACCUACCAGCCUACGACGGGUACGGGUUGUGAGAGCAAGAGCCCGGAGAUGGAUUCUGAGACACGAAUCCAGGCCCUACGGGGUGCAGCAGGCGCGAAAACUUUACAAUGCUGGCAACAGCGAUAAGGGGACCUCGAGUGCCAGGAUACAAUCCUGGCUGUCGUAAUGCCUAAAAAGCAUUGCAUAGCAAGGGCCGGGCAAGACCGGUGCCAGCCGCCGCGGUAACACCGGCGGCUCGAGUGGUAACCGCUAUUAUUGGGUCUAAAGGGUCUGUAGCCGGCUGAAUAAGUCUCUUGGGAAAUCUGGCAGCUUAACUGUCAGGCUUUCAGGAGAUACUGUUCGGCUCGAGACCGGGAGAGGUGAGAGGUACCUCAGGGGUAGGGGUGAAAUCUUGUAAUCCUUGAGGGACCACCAGUGGCGAAGGCGUCUCACCAGAACGGAUCUGACGGCAAGGGACGAAAGCUAGGGGCACGAACCGGAUUAGAUACCCGGGUAGUCCUAGCCGUAAACGAUACUCGCUAGGUGUCGGCCACGGUGCGACCGUGGUCGGUGCCGUAGGGAAGCCGUGAAGCGAGCCACCUGGGAAGUACGGCCGCAAGGCUGAAACUUAAAGGAAUUGGCGGGGGAGCACUACAACGGGUGGAGCUUGCGGUUUAAUUGGAUUCAACGCCGGAAAUCUCACCGGGACCGACAGCGAUAUGAAGGCCAGGCUGAAGACCUUGCCGGAUUAGCUGAGAGGUGGUGCAUGGCCGUCGUCAGUUCGUACUGUGAAGCAUCCUGUUAAGUCAGGCAACGAGCGAGACCCAAAGGG